This 466-nucleotide ribosomal RNA is filed under the name uncultured bacterium. RNAcentral's name for it is "partial 16S ribosomal RNA". It matches the Rfam family "Bacterial small subunit ribosomal RNA", at positions 28 to 507 of the family's 1533-position model. The record is from RNAcentral.
GAUGAACGCUGGCGGCGUGCUUAACACUUGCAAGUCGAACGAUGAAGCCCAGCUUGCUGGGUGGAUUAGUGGCGAACGGGUGAGUAACACGUGAGUAACCUGCCCUUAACUCUGGGAUAAGCCUGGGAAACUGGGUUUAAUACCGGAUAGGAGCGUCCACCGCAUGGUGGGUGUUGGAAAGAUUUAUCGGUUUUGGAUGGACUCGCGGCCUAUCAGCUUGUUGGUGAGGUAAUGGCUCACCAAGGCGACGACGGGUAGCCGGCCUGAGAGGGUGACCGGCCACACUGGGACUGAGACACGGCCCAGACUCCUACGGGAGGCAGCAGUGGGGAAUAUUGCACAAUGGGCGCAAGCCUGAUGCAGCGACGCCGCGUGAGGGAUGACGGCCUUCGGGUUGUAAACCUCUUUCAGUAGGGAAGAAGCGAAAGUGACGGUACCUGCAGAAGAAGCACCGGCUAACUACGUG